AGUUUUUAUUAAUUUUUGUCGAGAUUGGGGUAAGCUGACCCUGCCAAGCCCACGGCGGAUAAGUCAUAAUACUUUUACGUCAUUGCGGACGGGCUGAGUUUUACGUCGUCCCAAGACCCGUCACGAUAAUAAAAAAACUUUUACGUCAUUGCGGACGGGCUGAGUUUUACGUCGUCCCAAGACCCGUCACGAUAAUAAAAAAACGUGAGUUUUACUUCAUCACGAGGAAGGG
Molecule: long non-coding RNA, 232 nt
Organism: Folsomia candida
Lineage: Eukaryota; Metazoa; Arthropoda; Collembola; Entomobryomorpha; Isotomidae
Exons: 3
Source: RefSeq, a predicted model, not a curated record